UCCCAGACUCCUACGGGAGGCAGCAGUGAGGAAUAUUGGUCAAUGGGCGCGAGCCUGAACCAGCCAAGUCGCGUGAGGGAUGACGGCCCUACGGGUUGUAAACCUCUUUUGUCGGGGAGCAAAUUCCGCCACGUGUGGCGGAGUCGAGAGUACCCGAAGAAAAAGCAUCGGCUAACUCCGUGCCAGCAGCCGCGGUAAUACGGAGGAUCCGAGCGUUAUCCGGAUUUAUUGGGUUUAAAGGGAGCGUAGGUGGAUUGCUAAGUCAGUUGUGAAAGUUUGCGGCUCAACCGUAAAAUUGCAGUUGAAACUGGCAGUCUUGAGUACAGUAGAGGUGGGCGGAAUUCGUGGUGUAGCGGUGAAAUGCUUAGAUAUCACGAAGAACUCCGAUUGCGAAGGCAGCUCACUGGACUGCAACUGACACUGAGGCUCGAAAGUGUGGGUAUCAAACAGGAUUAGAUACCCUAGUAA
This 468-nucleotide ribosomal RNA is filed under the name uncultured bacterium. RNAcentral describes it as "bacterial SSU rRNA". It matches the Rfam family "Bacterial small subunit ribosomal RNA", at positions 329 to 793 of the family's 1533-position model. The record is from RNAcentral.